UGGUCCUUUCCUGCCCUUGGUUUGGCUGCUGUGGUCACUGCUAUUACUGUAGUUGUACUCUUGAAUUAAAAGUUCAGGGAAGAUGUUCUGCAGUACCCCUUAAAGGACUAGUGCCUUUGGAGCAACAGAAGAGAGAGAGGAGCAGAUUAAAUGUCAUAAAGGACUGGUGUCUGUCAUUGAGCUUGCUUGUCAUCUUAAAUUUGUUAGCUCUGGCGUCAGCAUGUGUGAGGGAACAAACUGUACCUGGACAGUCUCUAAGGGCAUGCCUACACAGCCAUGGCAGCACAUCCCAGUUGGGAUGGUUCCAAGCAUAAUCUAAACUCAGAUAUGUGCCAGUGAGGCCCCUCUAUGAUAUCCCUCUGCAGCUACUCUUGAGACUCCUGGCAUCAGCCCCAGACUUGCAAGCGCACAGAACGGUCUGGCCGUUCAUGUAUCUGGGUUUGGAGCAUGCCAGUGGGAGCAGAGCAAAACUACAAUGUGGCCUCAAGAGCUAACACUGGCAUGGACUAGUUGACUUGAAAGCUUAGAGAACUCACCCUCUGGGAUUAAAGCAGUAGCCAGACAGGCAGCUCCUGCCACCACGUUUGCCACUGCCCAGGGAUAACGUCGGCCGAUUUGAUCAACUGUAAGGAUGAGUAUGAGGGCAGCCGGAAAUUCAACAAGAGCGGAAUAGAAGAAAUCCAGGUACUUACCAGUAAUAGAGCAAGAAGAAGAAAUUUGGCAAUGUAACAGCAAGCUGCAGCCAUCUCCAGUGGGGAAUCACAUAAGCAACGGCCGCAAAUACAAGGAGUCCAACAGAAAAGGCUGC
Alligator sinensis (Chinese alligator) is the source of this 808-nucleotide long non-coding RNA. RefSeq lists it as uncharacterized. The transcript is spliced from 3 exons. The record is from RefSeq and is a predicted model, not a curated record. Lineage: Eukaryota; Metazoa; Chordata; Crocodylia; Alligatoridae.